RNAcentral lists this long non-coding RNA (6003 nucleotides) under Zostera marina. RNAcentral's name for it is "long non-coding RNA (ZMAR_LNC006054)". The record is from RNAcentral. Lineage: Eukaryota; Viridiplantae; Streptophyta; Magnoliopsida; Alismatales; Zosteraceae.
UAGGAAAUAUUUUAAAUUUAAUAUUGUAAAUAUUGUAGUUACAGACAAAUGGCUUUAUAAGCCAAUUUUUAUUAAAAAUAGCAACUACCAUAGUAUAGAAACCGUUUCAAAAUUUCCACGACAACUUCCACCAACCAUCCGACACAAGGUCGAGUACAACCUCCAUCCUCCGUGGUGCUCUGUUCUUCUCUAGCUGUAUCAAGCAUCCAGUCAGACUGCUUAACAACAAUCUUCUGUUUCGGACUCAGUCUUGAUUUCAGAGGUUUAUCCUCGCCGUGCGCGUCUCUAGGUAUCUGGGAUCUGUCGAUCGUCGGACCGGAGACUCUCUUCAUCUCAGGUGAUUUGAUUCUGAAUUCUUGUACAAUUCCUAAGAAUUGUAGCACUUGUGCUUUCAAUUUUCUCGAACUCGUUUAAUUGCAGAAAUUAAUGGCUUCUAAUAUGGAGUUAACUGCAAAUCCUGAUUUCAAAAGACUUCAAGCAUUACAAAUGGAGCAAACUAAAGAAAUGAAUGAAUUUUGUAUCGUUAUGACAAAUACAAUACAAUGGAUUUCAAAUCAAAUAAUGAAUAUGGGAAAAGAAACAAAAAUUCCAGAACCACCAGAUGGGGAACAAAACAAGCAAAACAGAGAAUUUGGUGAUCAAAGCUACCUAUCUUUAGUGGAUCUCGACAACCCCAUAUAUGCAGUUAGCAUACUGAAUGAUGACAAUUACAAUCCAGCAAAGAAUAUUAAAGUAGACUUGCCAAGAUUUGAGGGCAAAAAUGUCGAAGAUUGGCUAUUUCAAGUAAGAAGAUUUUUUUAUAUAUAAUAAGACUUCGGAAGAACAAAAAUUAUUAAUGGUUUCAUUCCAUAUGGAUGGAAUAGCGAGAAAAUGGUUUUCUUGGAUAGAGGCUAGCAACUUCCUCAGUGAUUGGAAAAAAUUUGUAAAAGAUGUAUGUAAAAAAUUCAGCAAAGGUAAUUAUACUCUCCCCGGAGGCAAACUAAGCAAAUUAAUGCAAGUGGGCUCUGUUGCUGAAUAUCAAACAGAGUUUGAAGAAAGGUGCACAAUGUUUAGGCCUACCAGAUUACUUUAUACUGGAAAUGUUCAUUUCUGGCCUCAGAAAUGACAUUCAAAAAGAGGUGGUAAAAUUCAAGCCAAAUGACAUACAAGAAGCAUUUGACAUGGCAGCCUUAGUAGAAGGAAAGAAAGUAGGAAGUGGAUCAAAUUGGAUCCCCAAAACAGCAAGAAGUACCUAGAAAUAACAACAAAAAGAGCUGACAAAUCCAGCAACAACUGAAAAAAUUCAGUAUGCAAAAGGAGGUCAAGAACAACCCUAUACCAAACCAGUCUUUAAAAGACUAUCACCUGAAGAAAGAACAGCAAAAGGACUUUGUUUUAACUGUGAGGACAUGUUCAUACCAGGGCAUAAAUGCAAAGGUAAAAUGUUUAUGUUAUCUGCAGAUGAAUCAUAUUUGCUAGAAAUGGAAGAACAAAAAGAAGUUAUGAAUAUGGAGGAAGAAAAUGUUGAAAUACCCAUCAUAAGAAAUAAUGAAGCUCCUACUGGUAUUAGCAUGCAUGCAUUCGAAGGACAAAUGAAUCCAAGCACAAUCAGGCUGGAAGGAUUCAUAAAAAUGCAAUCAGUGAGUAUUUUAGUUGAUUCGGGCUCCACACAUAAUUUUAUACAAUUAGCUGUAGCAUCUGCCUUAAAAUUAACUAUAUAUGCUACUAGACCAUUUAAAGUAGCCACAGAAAGUGGAGAAAAUCUCACUUGUGACAAAUUGUGCAAGGAUGUAGAAAUUAAAAUACAAGGUGUGGUAGUGACAUUGGAUGUAUUUUUAAUACCAAUGGCUGGAUCUAAUCUAGUAAUUGGAUUACAGUGGCUGAAAAAGUUGGGGUAUAUUGUCUCAAAUUAUGAAAAAUUAACAAUGAAGUUCAAAUGGGCAGGAAAAGAGGUAACUUGGCAAGGUAUAUCUUGGAUAUUUGAUGACCCAUUAACAGUGGGAGAACUGAAAAGUCUAUGUCAGGUAACCAUAGAGGCUUAUUUAUGUUAUUAUGAAGCUUCUUCAAAUAAUGAAUCCAGCAAGGUUCUGAGCAAAAAAAAUUCAGAAAUUCACGAAAUACUAAACGAAUUUUCAGAUAUAUUCUCUGAUCCUAAAGGUCUGCCUCCACAAAGAGAGAGAGAUCAUCUGAUACAUUUAAUACCAGGAGCUAAGCCAGUGAAUGUGAGACCUUAUAGGUACCCACAAUUUCAAAAAAAUGGAAUAGAGAAGCUAAUUUCAGAGAUGCUAGAUAAAGGCACCAUCAAACCAAGCCUAAGUCCAUAUUCUUCUCCAGUAUUACUCAUAAAGAAAAAAGAUAGUGGUUACAGAAUAUGUGUAGAUUAUAGAGCACUCAAUGCUCUAACUAUCAAAGAUAAAUUCCCCAUCCCAACGGUGGAUGAAUUGUUGGGGGAAAUGAAAGGAUCUACAAUAUUUUCUAAGCUAGAUCUGAGAUCAGGUUUUCACCAGAUCAGAGUUUGCCCAUCAGAUACUCACAAAACAAUAUUCAGAACACAUGAAGGCCAUUUUGAAUUUAUGGUUAUGCCAUUUGGGCUAACUAAUGCACCAACCACUUUUCAGACAGUUAUGAACUCUGUUUUUUUUUUAAAUAUUGAGAAAAUUCGUAAUAAUAUUUUUUGAUGAUAUAUUGAUCUACAUCCUUCACUUGAAGAACAUAUAACACAUUUGGGCAGAGUAUUUGAGAUACUCAGAAACAAUCAGCUAUUGGCAAAACUAUCUAAGUGCUCAUUUGGGAAAUCAUCCAUUGGCUUCCUAGGACACAUAAUUUCAGAAAAAGGAGUUCACCCUGAUCCAGAUAAAGUAAGUGCAAUGACAGAAUGGACGGUACCCAAAACCAUCAAACAACUCAGAGGUUUUUUGGGUCUAACUGGUUAUUAUAUAAGGUUCAUAAAGAAUUAUACUCAGAUUGCUGCACUUAUGACAAACCUAUUGAAGAAGGACAGUUUUAAGUGAUCUGAAGAUAGUAAAACUAGUUUUGAGACUUUGAAGGCAGCUAUGAUAAAGGCUCCUUUUUUAGCAUUUCCAGAUUUUGAAAAAUUAUUCAUAUUAGAGACCGAUGCUUGUAACAGUGGGGUGGGGGCAGUACUUAUAUAGGAAUACCAUCCUAUUUCAUUUUAUAGCUGCAAAAUAUCUGGAGAAAUUGCAGGUGCUUCAAUCUACAUAAAAGAAAUGUUUGCCAUAACACAGUCAGUCCAUAAAUGGAGACAUUAUUUGCUUGGUGCUCCCUUUACUAUAAGAACUGAUCACAGAAGUUUAAAAAAUUUAUUGACACAGGUCAUUCAGACCCCAGAGCAACAGGUAUUCUUAUGUAAAUUAUUGAGUUUUGAUUUUCAGAUCGUAUACAAACCAGGGAAAUCAAAUGUGGUGGCUGAUGCUUUAUCUAUAUCAUUUGAAGGAGAAGAAGAAGAAGAAAUUAUUUAUUCUCACUCAUCCAAGGGAAAUCCAUGCUCAUUUUUAGCUCUCUCAACUCCUAUAUAUAAUUUGAUAGAUGUAAUCAGAAAAGAAAACAAGGAAAAUAAGCCCUGAGAGAAUUGAUGGAAGAAAUCAGCAAACACCCUAAUUCCAAGGUUGGUUUCACAGUGCAAGGAGAAAUUAUUAAAUUCAUAGGAAGAAUAUAUAUAUCAAAAAAUUCUAUUUUAAGGGAGGAAAUUAUGAAAGAAUACCAUUCAACAGUAACUGGAGGGCACUCUGGGAUCAAGGCAACUACCAAAAGAAUUAAUCUACAAUUUUGGUAGGAAGGUAUGUCUAAAGAUAUUAGAGAAUUUGUGUUAAAUUACAAAAUAUGUCAACAGAUGAAGCCCAUAAACCAAAAGAAGGAGGGUUUACUCAUGCCAUUACCCAUACCUAAUAUGGUUUGGAAGAAUGUAACAAUGGACUUCAUCAUCGAGCUACCACAAGUAGAAGGAAAAAUAAUCAUCAUGGUAGUGGUGGAUAGAUUAUCAAAAUAUGCAUACUUUGAAGCUUUACCCACAAAUUUUAAUGCAAGUAUGGUAUCUGAAUUAUUUACAUCAAUGGUCAUCAAAUUACACGGAAUACCAAGUUCCAUUGUCUCAGAUAGGGACAAGAUAUUCACUUCCAAAUUUUGGAAGGAAUUGCAUAACAAGAGUGGGACCAAACUACAUUACUCUACUGCCUAUCACCCGAAAAGUAAUGGCCAAACAAAAGUGGUCAACAGAGGUUUGGAAAUGUAUCUAAGAUGUUUUUGUCAUGAUGAUCCAAAAAAAUGGUUGAGCUUACUAUCAUGGGCUGAAUUAUGGUAUAACACCAAUUAUCAUUCAUCUAUCAAAACAACACCUUUUAAUGUGUUAUAUGGGAGAGAUCCACCAGGAAUUGCACAAUACACUCCCAGGGAUUCAAGCAUAGAUGCGGUAGAUGCAAGUAUGCAAGUAAGGGAAGAAGUUCUGAAUCACAUCAAAGCUAAUCUAAAGAAGUGCCAAGAAAUUAUGAAACUAAAGGCAGAUACAAAAAGAAAAGAUAUUGAGUUUAAUUUGGGCGAUUGGACAUGGAUUAAAUUAAAACCUUAUAAGCAGAGAGCACUAUGGCAUAUAGAUUGAAUCAUAAAUUAAGUAAAAGGUAUUUCAGACCUUACAAAAUUACACAGUGGAGUUACCCCAAGGCAGCAAGAUCCAUAACACAUUCCACAUAUCAAAAUUAAAGCCUUAUAGAGGAGAAAUACCACCACAUAAAGAAGUAAAACCAAUCCUAUCUAUCAACAAUCAACCAAUAGUCUAUCUGGUGGCAUUAAUUGACGCAAGAAAAAUAUACCGGAAUGGGAAGAUGACGGACCAGGUAUUGGUGCACUGGAAUGAUUCACAGCCGGAAGAUGCAUCUUGGGAGGAUUUCCUGCAGCUAGCAACUUUGUUCCCAUCCAUCACCAAUGAGGGCAUGGCGAUUUUCAAAAAGGGGAGAGAUGAUACAACUCGGCCGGCUACUAGAGAGAUUGCAAGGGAGGUAGCACGGGACUUGCUGGAGAUUCAAGAUCGAGAGAGUGAAGAGGUAAUCGGGCGUCCGAAAAGAUUGGCUAGGGCUCUGAGACGUUGGGACAAUUAUGUUACCCCAUUUGGGCGUAACUAAAGGGGACCAAUUUCAAUAUUUAAUUCAAGGACCAAUUUCGUAAUUUUAAUUAUUUCCAAAGGCUGUUUUAGAAAAUAUUUUAAAUUUAAUAUUGUAAAUAUUGUAGAUACAGACAGAUGGAUUUAUAAGCCAAUUUUUAUUAAAAAUAGCAACUACCAAAGUAUAGAAACCGUUUCAAAAUUUCCACGACAACUUCCACCAACCAUCCGACACAAGGUCGAGUACAACCUCCAUCCUCCGCCGUGCUCUGUUUUUCUCCAGCCGUAUCAAGCAUCCGGUCAGACUGCUUAACAACAAUCUUCUGUUUCGGACUCGGUCUUGAUUUCAGAGGUUUAUCCUCGCCGUACGCGUCUCUAGGUAUCUGGGAUCUGUCGAUCGUCGGACCGGAGACUCUCUUCAUCUCAGGUGAAGUGAUUUUGAAUUCUUCUAUAAUUUCUAAGAAAUGUAUCAGGAACUCUCAGUGCUAGGACUAUUUAUUUCUUAACCUGGGCUGUCAAGCAAUUUCUCCAAAUUAUUAUUAUUAUGACUUGGGCUUGGACUGAAAUUAUGUUGACCCCCACUCGAAAUAGAAAUAUCUGAAUUAACUUCGGUUGGGCCUGAUUUAAUAGUGAUCGAGCUUGAAAUUAAUUCUGGACUCCCAAUAAUAGCCGGGCCUGAAAUAUUAGUUUAUGGACAAAUAUCAUAAUCAUCCAUGUCCAAACAUUUAUUUAGAGAAAAAUCGUUUUCCUCAAACCUUACAUCUCUUGAGAUAUAUAACUUCCCAAUAACCGGAUCUAAACAGAUAUACCCUUCAUAAUUUACUGGAUACCCCAAGAAAAUGCACGGUGUAGAUUUCGGAUCCAACUUUGAAGACCUAACAUUUGCACCCGAACAACUUUAAGAUACCAUAACC